RNAcentral lists this ribosomal RNA (1316 nucleotides) under Salmonella enterica subsp. enterica serovar Newport. Its description in RNAcentral is "bacterial LSU rRNA". It matches the Rfam family "Bacterial large subunit ribosomal RNA", at positions 1 to 1348 of the family's 2925-position model. Lineage: Bacteria; Pseudomonadati; Pseudomonadota; Gammaproteobacteria; Enterobacterales; Enterobacteriaceae. The record is from RNAcentral.
GGGUUGUGAGGUUAAGCGACUAAGCGUACACGGUGGAUGCCCUGGCAGUCAGAGGCGAUGAAGGGCGUGCUAAUCUGCGAUAAGCGCCGGUAAGGUGAUAUGAACCGUUAUAACCGGCGAUACCCGAAUGGGGAAACCCAGUGUGAUUCGUCACACUAUCAUUAACUGAAUCCAUAGGUUAAUGAGGCGAACCGGGGGAACUGAAACAUCUAAGUACCCCGAGGAAAAGAAAUCAACCGAGAUUCCCCCAGUAGCGGCGAGCGAACGGGGAGGAGCCCAGAGCCUGAAUCAGCAUGUGUGUUAGUGGAAGCGUCUGGAAAGGCGCGCGAUACAGGGUGACAGCCCCGUACACAAAAGCGCAUGUGCUGUGAGCUCGAUGAGUAGGGCGGGACACGUGAUAUCCUGUCUGAAUAUGGGGGGACCAUCCUCCAAGGCUAAAUACUCCUGACUGACCGAUAGUGAACCAGUACCGUGAGGGAAAGGCGAAAAGAACCCCGGCGAGGGGAGUGAAAAAGAACCUGAAACCGUGUACGUACAAGCAGUGGGAGCACCCUUCGGGGUGUGACUGCGUACCUUUUGUAUAAUGGGUCAGCGACUUAUAUUCUGUAGCAAGGUUAACCGAAUAGGGGAGCCGGAGGGAAACCGAGUCUUAACCGGGCGUUAAGUUGCAGGGUAUAGACCCGAAACCCGGUGAUCUAGCCAUGGGCAGGUUGAAGGUUGGGUAACACUAACUGGAGGACCGAACCGACUAAUGUUGAAAAAUUAGCGGAUGACCUGUGGCUGGGGGUGAAAGGCCAAUCAAACCGGGAGAUAGCUGGUUCUCCCCGAAAGCUAUUUAGGUAGCGCCUCGUGAAUUCAUCUCCGGGGGUAGAGCACUGUUUCGGCUAGGGGGCCAUCCCGGCUUACCAACCCGAUGCAAACUGCGAAUACCGGAGAAUGUUAUCACGGGAGACACACGGCGGGUGCUAACGUCCGUCGUGAAGAGGGAAACAACCCAGACCGCCAGCUAAGGUCCCAAAGUCAUGGUUAAGUGGGAAACGAUGUGGGAAGGCCCAGACAGCCAGGAUGUUGGCUUAGAAGCAGCCAUCAUUUAAAGAAAGCGUAAUAGCUCACUGGUCGAGUCGGCCUGCGCGGAAGAUGUAACGGGGCUAAACCAUGCACCGAAGCUGCGGCAGCGACACUGUGUGUUGUUGGGUAGGGGAGCGUUCUGUAAGCCUGUGAAGGUGUGUCGUGAGGCAUGCUGGAGGUAUCAGAAGUGCGAAUGCUGACAUAAGUAACGAUAAAGCGGGUGAAAAGCCCGCUCGCCGGAAGACCAA